GUCUAAGGCCAUGUCACCCUGAAUGCACCCAAUCUCAUCUGGUCUCAAAAGCCAAGCAGGGUUGGGCCUGGUUAGUACUUGGACAGAUAUUCAGAAGAGACUGCUCAGAGACAAGCAGUUUAGAGA
This 126-nucleotide ribosomal RNA is filed under the name Castor canadensis (American beaver). The record is from RNAcentral. Lineage: Eukaryota; Metazoa; Chordata; Mammalia; Rodentia; Castoridae.